Molecule: ribosomal RNA, 459 nt
Filed under: uncultured bacterium
Lineage: Bacteria
Description: partial 16S ribosomal RNA
Rfam family: Bacterial small subunit ribosomal RNA
Source: RNAcentral
CCUACGGGAGGCAGCAGUGAGGAAUAUUGGUCAAUGGCCGGAAGGCUGAACCAGCCAAGCCGCGUGAGGGAGGAAGGCGCUGAGGGUCGCAGACCUCUUUUGCCGGGGGACAAAAGGCGGGACUCGUCCGGUUCUGAGGGUACCCGGCGAAAAAGCAUCGGCUAACUCCGUGCCAGCAGCCGCGGUAAUACGGAGGAUGCGAGCGUUAUCCGGAUUCAUGGGGGUUAAAGGGUGCGCAGGCGGGGCUUUAAGCCAGCGGUAAAAUCGCGGGGCUCAACCCCGCCGAGCCGUUGAUACUGGGGUACUUGAGUGCGAGAGAGGCAUGCGGAAUGCGUGGUGUAGCGGUGAAAUGCAUAGAUAUCGCGCAGAACCCCGAUUGCGAAGGCAGCAUUCCGGGCCGCAACUGACGCUGAGGCACGAAAGCGUGGGGAUCGAACAGGAUUAGAUACCCUUGUAGUC